GGGGGCGUAGCUCAGAUAGUAGAGUGCUCACUUAGCAGGCGAGAGGUACGGAUAUCGAUACCCCGCGCCUCCA
Non-coding RNA from Trichonephila inaurata madagascariensis, 73 nucleotides. The record is from the annotation of a GenBank genome assembly. Lineage: Eukaryota; Metazoa; Arthropoda; Arachnida; Araneae; Nephilidae.